GGAAGGAUCAUUACCAAGAACCACACAGAAAAGGGAGGCAAAGGGGCCUACAGGGCUAGUAGCUUAUACGUUGUUGAACGUCCUGCCUGGACCCGGAGCCGCCCCCAUCUAAACCCUCUGCGUACCUGUCCCUUCUUGCUUCCCCCGGCAUCUCGUCGGGGGGAGGUAACAACCAAAACUCUCUGUGAAUCAAACAGCCGUCAGAAUUAUAAAACAAACAAAAGUUAAAACUUUCAACAACGGAUCUCUUGGUUCCCACAUCGAUGAAGAACGCAGCGAAAUGCGAUAAGUAAUGUGAAUUGCAGAAUUCAGUGAAUCAUCGAAUCUUUGAACGCACAUUGCGCCCCCUGGUAUUCCGGGGGGCAUGCCUGUUCGAGCGUCAUAAAAACCUCCUCCCCCUUCGGGUUUUGUUACUAUCGUUGGGGGGUUUUGGCCUAAUGGGAUAGCGAUUGGCAAUUCGUUUCCCAAUGUCCUAAAUAGACGUAGACCCGCCUCCAGAUGCGACAGCACCGAGGCCAUCAACCGUGGAGUUAUGGGAUAUAAUAGGCUUGCAGUAAAAUGCUCACCUCUCUCCACACGCCGAUGGCACGACAGUUGCAGUUGCGGGCGUAAAUUGGAGCCCUUUUCAGGACCCUUGUGGCCUAGCAUCCACCAUACAUAAUUUGACCUCGGAUCAGGUAGGGAUACCCGCUGAACUUAAGCAUAUC
RNAcentral lists this ribosomal RNA (707 nucleotides) under Morchella sp. Mel-17/19/20/34. RNAcentral's name for it is "eukaryotic LSU rRNA". The stretch from base 229 to 382 matches the Rfam family "5.8S ribosomal RNA". The record is from RNAcentral. Lineage: Eukaryota; Fungi; Ascomycota; Pezizomycetes; Pezizales; Morchellaceae.